AUGAAGAUAAUAGGGCGCAAACAUAUCUUUCUGAAUGGGUCCAAAGUCAAAUUCUAUGGGGUGGAAUUUGUACAUUUUGAGGAAAAUCAAGCAGAAGACAAUGUAGUGUGUGUUGUUGGGUUAAUAAGAGGAUGCUUCCCUAAAGACCUCAUCCCUAGUGAUUUAAGUGAGAUGCUUGAUCUUUUGCUAUCAGAUCCUCUGCCCAAUCUUGAAGCAGGGAAAGGUGAUUGCUCCCUGCUGUCAGCAAAAGAGAGGACAGAACUCUUGGUUCUUUUGCAUACCGAGUACAUGACAAAUGUAAAACCUAUGUUAUGUGGUAAAGAUGGCGACGAUCCAAAUGGAAAUUUGGAAGAUUUCUUCGUAGGGUGCUCGUACAUAGAAACAUGGGUAGACACUAUGACAAAAAACACUUACCUAACUGAGGUCGCCAGUUAUAACUCGGUACUGGGGGUUUUGAAACUGGAGAAGAGAAAGGAGGAGAACAAAGAGAAGUUGGAGAAUGAAGAGGAUGACAAUAAAAAGCUAAUACAAAAAGGAGAGCGACAGUUUCAUGUUCUAAGAAAUUGUGAUGUACAUAUUCCUGAGAAGGCUGCAAAGGAUGGAAUAUGUCCAUUUCGUCUGACGUGGUGUGACUACAUCCGUACGUGCUACUUUCGAAAGUAUCUCUCCUUUGUGCAAAGCCGCAUGGAAUCUUAUCUAAAGCCAACAAGGUGA
Molecule: ribosomal RNA, 714 nt
Filed under: Triticum aestivum (bread wheat)
Lineage: Eukaryota; Viridiplantae; Streptophyta; Magnoliopsida; Poales; Poaceae
Description: partial small subunit ribosomal RNA
Source: RNAcentral